CUUAAACUAAAUGAAUUUUAUUGAUCUCGUUGUUGACAACAAUUAUGAAAGAAGCACACAACGAUAUGUAAGGAUAAAACCUUUGUAUAAAUAAGCAAUAAAAUUGGACGACAAGAGGGUCAAGGAAUUUAGAUUUUCCUUGUUAAAAUGCUAAUUAUUCAAAUAAUUUAUACUUGAUCCGAUCAUUUUCCCGAUCUCUGCUUUAAUAAUUCCAUGGCCAAUUAUCAAUGGGAAGUUAGUUCUUGACUGAUGCUGCAAAACAAAUGAAUAAAAAAUCAAAUUAACAAAAAAAAAAAAAACAUUAGUUGAAAGAAAUAAACAAUCAAUUUUUUUGAAUGAGUUUUCAUUCUAAAAUUUCGACUCUACGAUCCCUUCAAUUUCUAGCAUCAAAACUAUUAAAGUAAGGAAUGCGAAUCUUAUCAAACCACUAAUUUCAAGAAUAAAGAUUAAAUUUUGCCUUCCAACUAAAAUUUAUCUCACUUAAAAAAUUAAUUAUUGCCUUGAAGAAAACAAACAUUUCUGUUGAGAUUGAAGAAAAUACCAAUAGUCUUUUCCGUGCAAUCAUUGUUGCAUUUCUGAUGACAUGAAGCAUUGGCAUCGCCUUUUGCAUCACAUUCUUUCCUGCAUGUUAGUACACAUGAUUCCAUUUGAGGCCAUAGUUUCAUUCCUUCGGCGAUACUUUUGAUCUUUUCGGCCGCCUGAAGAUCUGGGCUCAUGUUAGCGGUCGUCUGUGCCUUGGAGAAUUGUAGUGAUCCCAUCACAACAAUGCACAUAAAGAAAACAACCAUAAUGUUUUUUGCCAUUUUUUAGUUUUAGCUUUCUGUAAGUCUAUUUUUUUUUUUUUUGUUAUGGGCUUU
Molecule: long non-coding RNA, 857 nt
Filed under: Cucumis sativus (cucumber)
Lineage: Eukaryota; Viridiplantae; Streptophyta; Magnoliopsida; Cucurbitales; Cucurbitaceae
Description: long non-coding RNA (CSAT_LNC001403)
Source: RNAcentral